RNAcentral lists this long non-coding RNA (383 nucleotides) under Helianthus annuus (common sunflower). RNAcentral describes it as "hypothetical non coding rna". Lineage: Eukaryota; Viridiplantae; Streptophyta; Magnoliopsida; Asterales; Asteraceae. The record is from RNAcentral.
AACCCUAGAUCAAAAUUCCUCUGCAUCUUCAUCUCUCUCAAUCCUGUCCGACAACCUUCAAUCGAUCUUCAAGACGCAAUACUCUUCUCUCUCUGAAGAUCAUCUACGAAUCAUCAAUCAUUGGCAAGAUGAUUAAGGAUGGAUUUGCGGAGGGGAAAGAUCUGGUUGCUAGUGUGAUGUCCGCCAUGGGAGAGGAGCAGAUCUGCGCUCUCAAGGACAUCGGUCCAAAAUAGUUAUCUGAUAUUUAUUAUGUUAAAGAAAUGGUUUGUGAUAUCAGUAGAAAUUUUUUUGUUAAAACAUCAUGAAUAUGUUUGCAGCACUUAGCAUAGUACUUGAUAAUGGAUUAUUUAAAUGAUUGUAGGCUCUCCUAUUUCUUCAGAACC